AACGCGAAGAACCUUACCUGGGCUCGAACGGCUUAAGACAAUCCUUGGAAACAGGGACUUCCCGCAAGGGACUUGAGUCGAGGUGCUGCAUGGCUGUCGUCAGCUCGUGUCGUGAGAUGUUGGGUUAAGUCCCGCAACGAGCGCAACCCUUGUCCUGUGUUGCCACUCCCGUAAGGGAAGCACUCUCAGGAGACCGCCAGCGAUAAGCUGGAGGAAGGUGGGGAUGAUGUCAAGUCAUCAUGGCCUUUAUGUCCAGGGCUACACACGUGCUACAAUGGACGGUACAAAGCGCUGCAAACCCGCGAGGGGGAGCCAAUCGCAAAAAACCGUUCUCAGUUCGGAUCGCAGGCUGCAACUCGCCUGCGUGAAGCUGGAAUCGCUAGUAAUGCCGUAUCAGAACGAUGGCGUGAAUACGUUCCCGGGCCUUGUA
This 430-nucleotide ribosomal RNA is filed under the name uncultured Acidobacterium sp. Its description in RNAcentral is "bacterial SSU rRNA". It matches the Rfam family "Bacterial small subunit ribosomal RNA", at positions 958 to 1385 of the family's 1533-position model. The record is from RNAcentral. Lineage: Bacteria; Pseudomonadati; Acidobacteriota; Terriglobia; Terriglobales; Acidobacteriaceae.